AGCAACAAGCAUAUUCAUUUGCCUGGCCUGCCCUGUGGAGUUCUGUCAACAGAGGUAAAGAGCUCACCCACUAAACUUAAGUGGCAGGCUUUCUGUUCCAGGGUGAAGCUAGGCCAGUAAGUGUAAACUUGGAAGUGGAGGAGAAAACCAAUCAUUCUGCCAAGAAGCUAGUGGUUUGGAAGCUAAGAGCAGGUGACUGAACCAGUUAGCUUCGGACUACAAGUUUUGAAAAUCACUCUCUAGACGGCUGGCAAGACAGCUGGGUGUGCACCAGCCUUGAACCUGCAAGCAGACUCUCCCUGCCCCCAGGGACUCCAGCCCUGCCAUGGCAGAUUUUCAGCGCAGCAGCUGCACUAACUUCUUGUGCACCCGAAAGGGAAUGCUUCUGUUUGUUGAGAUUAUAUUGUGCCUUGUGAUUCUGACCCUCUACGGUGCCUCAACAUCAGGCUAUAUCUCUCUGUCACUGAUUGAAUUGAUCCUAGCUAUCAUCUUCUUUAUAAUCUACACAUGUGACCUGCACACCAGGAUACAAUUCAUUCACUGGCCUUGGACUGAUUUCUUCCGAUCUCUCAUAGCAGCCAUCAUCUACCUGAUCACCUCCAUUAUUGUACUUGUUGAGAGAGGAUAUCGCUCCAGAAUCGUUGCCGGGAUACUGGGCCUAAUCGCCACGGCCCUUUUUGGCUAUGAUGCCUUUAUUACUUGCCCAAUGCGACAAUAAAGACACACAGCAACAC
Molecule: non-coding RNA, 734 nt
Organism: Odocoileus virginianus texanus
Lineage: Eukaryota; Metazoa; Chordata; Mammalia; Artiodactyla; Cervidae
Source: RefSeq, a predicted model, not a curated record